UAUAAUAAAAAAGAAGGUGCAGUAUCCUAGUCAUCAAAGUUAUACUGGAAGGUGAUUUAUAAAGCAUCGACGGGCAUAUCUGUGAAGUUCUUUGUGUUUGCUUUGGUUGCCCAAACUGGGGCAGAUGCUGAGAGUUAAGAUUUUUGGGCGGGUUAUAAUGGCAUAUAGUCUUUACCCCAUUAAUCGUGGAGACCUAUUUUGGUGAAAACAAUUGUUUUUACUAUUUAGGCGUGAACCUGCAUAUGACAAACAUUGUGUGCAGUGUAGCCUGCCUUGAGUGAAUGUUUGGGAAUAUAGCGAUUAAAACAUACUUAAAUUUUAAGCGCUUAAUAUAAGUAUUGUUGUGUUAUUGAAACAGCAUUUGCAAAAUUGGCUAAGGUGUAAUGAUGGUGUUUGGGAAAACCUCUAGGCUGUUGAUAUAAAAUAUAUGUCAGGCAUAUUAAGGAUUAUAGUGCGCUCUUAGUGGCGAUUCGGUGAAAGGUUUGUAGUUAAAAGGAAACUGCUUUUUUGGUGACAAAAAGUCUUAUAAAUGGGAAAUCCAACCGAACCUAUGUCGCAAGGUUUACUUAGUAUACCGCCUUCUUAAUUUG
This 590-nucleotide small RNA is filed under the name human gut metagenome. The record is from RNAcentral.